Ostrinia nubilalis (European corn borer) is the source of this 2377-nucleotide RNA transcript. RefSeq lists it as uncharacterized. The record is from RefSeq and is a predicted model, not a curated record. NCBI's taxonomy places the organism in Eukaryota, Metazoa, Arthropoda, Insecta, Lepidoptera, Crambidae. The transcript is spliced from 4 exons.
AUGAAAUACAGUCCGCCUUUAAUUUAUAUCUAACGUCUAGUAAGACCCUAACAUUGGUCCUUAUCUCGCCGUCUACUCGUCUGGUUCCUGAGUGAUCGCUGUACAACUGCGUGUCACCGUUCGUCGUGGACUUUGACCGGAACAACGUGGAACCGUCGUCACCUUAGCCGCGUGGAAGAGGAUCCUGGAGCUGAUGUCACCUAUUGUUGGGGAGUAUACAGUUCAUGCGUGAGUCGUUCCAAUUAGUCGCUUCCCUAAUUGUCUAUUUUUUUUCAACUUUGCCGAAAAUCGUUCCUAUUUGCCAACUUAAUUCAUAUUUUCUCAUUCAUCGUCUUGCUUCUCACUUUAUCAGCCCGCAAACCUACUAUCUGUCUCUUUCUUUGCGUAUUUUUUUGCAAGCUCGUGUUUACGUACACGCGGUCAAUAACCCUAACGGGACCCGCCUUCCUUACGUAAUCGCACUAAACUGCAUCGACUGCAUCAAUCAGCUGUUUGCGCGCUAUUCAUUCAUUUUAUUACGCAUAAUUUCCCUUUCUUUCAUUAAACUUUACACGUGCUUGUUCAAAUCAAAAUGGCUGACAUAAAAUCUUUACUUAAAAAACGAAGCACGUACAAGUGUAAGCUUACAAUCUUUACCAAUUAUUUAAAUUUAUUAAACACUGGAUCCACAAUUUCAGAAUUGCAACGUUUAGACCUCGAGGAACGCUUUAGUAGAUUCAAUGUUAUGUACACUGAAUUCGAUGCAUUGCAGAGCGAGAUCGAGAUGCUCGAGGAGGACCCCGAGGACCUUGUCGAGGAGCGCGAGGACUUCGAGCGCCAGUACUUCAGCCAGGUGGCCCUCGCACGCUCUCUGCUUGGGGUUUCUUCCAAAGCAUUGGUGAACGUCUUGAACACUUCGGGCGAGAAGUACACUGCCCGGCUACUACUGGACAACGGUAGUACAGCCAACUUCGUAACGCAACGCUUGUGUGACAAGUUGGGUUUGUCACGAUGCGGCACGAGAACAAAGGUCACAGUGAAGGCUGUACAUUUGGAGCUUGUUACGGACCUCACCACCGAAGCUUACAUGGCUGCUCUGAAUCGGUUCGUGGCGCGGCGAGGCAAGCCUCAAAGCAUCACGUCCGAUAAUGGCACUAACUUUGUCGGUGCAUCGAAUGAUCUGCAAAGGUUCCUUUCGAGUAAUAAUAAUCUAGCAUCUCAUAUAGCCCAGGAAGGCAUUGAAUUUAUUUUUACUCCUCCCUACACACCCCAUUUUAAUUCAUUAGCCGAAGCUGCAGUCAAAUCAUGUAAGCAUCAUUUAAAAAGAUUAUUACAUCUCACUCAUUUUACAUUCGAGGAAAUGACAACUUGCCUUUGUAAAAUCGAGGCCGUCCUCAAUUCACGACCUCUUACCUCUCUUUCUUCUGACCCUAACGAUUUUUCGGCUCUUACACCUUCCCAUUUCCUAAUUGGGCGACCAUUGCUGACUGUACCUCACCCUCAUGUGGCUGACGUCACUAUCACCCGUCUGGAUCGAUGGAAACGCAUCCAACACGUUCAGCAACACUUCUGGCGACGGUUUCAUAACGAGUAUGUCUCUCUGCUACAGACCAAGACGAAAUGGUUGGCAUCCACAGGCGAGGUCAAGCCUGGACAGCUGGUGCUCAUCAAGGAGAAGACCCCGCCACUGCUCUGGUCACUAGGGCGGGUCGUGAAGACCUAUCCAGGCGUGGAUGGCAUCACCAGGGUGGCCGAGUUGAAGACCAAGAGGGGGACCAUACGUCGAGCCUUCAACUGCAUCUGCCCGCUUCCACUUCAUUGAAGAAGAUGACUCUUCAACCCGGGGAGUAUGUUGGCGCUUCUCGGGUCCUCGGGCUUCUUCGACAUCGAUCGGCCAUCAUCGGCUCCGCGCGAGGCGCCGGCACACUCCGUACGUGCCCGACGCCCACUCAGCCUCACGACCGUCACCGGUGUCAGACGCGGCCCUCCCACACCAAGACGAAAUGGUUGGCAUCCACAGGCGAGGUCAAGCCUGGACAGCUGGUGCUCAUCAAGGAGAAGACCCCGCCACUGCUCUGGUCACUAGGGCGGGUCGUGAAGACCUAUCCAGGCGUGGAUGGCAUCACCAGGGUGGCCGAGUUGAAGACCAAGAGGGGGACCAUACGUCGAGCCUUCAACUGCAUCUGCCCGCUUCCACUUCAUUGAAGAAGAUGACUCUUCAACCCGGGGAGUAUGUUGGCGCUUCUCGGGUCCUCGGGCUUCUUCGACAUCGAUCGGCCAUCAUCGGCUCCGCGCGAGGCGCCGGCACACUCCGUACGUGCCCGACGCCCACUCAGCCUCACGACCGUCACCGGUGUCAGACGCGGCCCUCCCACGUAGGCGCGAACUAGCGAUAUAU